Molecule: unclassified non-coding RNA, 4810 nt
Filed under: Leishmania donovani
Lineage: Eukaryota; Euglenozoa; Kinetoplastea; Trypanosomatida; Trypanosomatidae
Description: gene:LdHU3.26.3180(CDS-product:protein_kinase_put ative)
Source: RNAcentral
CGAGGGCAGGAGAUGCUUGCACAUGCACACACGCAUAGACGCACACCCGCACACGCACACGCACACGCACACACAUAGAUUCAUACGUUGUCAGCUAACCACACCCGGUGCCGUCUUGCGCCUCCUUUUUCUCUUUACAGGACGGCUGUAGCGGUCUUUAUCAGCUCGUGCCCGUUGUGCCAGUCCUCUGCGGCAGUAUCUGGUGUUUCGCUCACUGACUCGCACGCACGCGCCCUUGCUACUCGUCGUGUGCUCAGACGCACAGAGAGGAGGCGUUAUCGCAGUAGAGGGGGUGGGGAGUGUACGGGAGGGGGUGGCUGGUGGAUGGACUCCGCUACAGCAGCUGCGGAGAGGGCAGCCUCUUCGGCGCUCUCGGCUUCUCUGUCACUCACCACCACACAUUCAUCGACUACAUCCACGGCGACGCUAACGCCGGCGCACGAGGCCCUGCGGCAAGCCAGGUCGUUUUGUGGGAGCGGCCGUGCUGCGCCCAGUACCUCCUCCUCUGCCAACCUUAGCUCAGGCCAUACCGAGUCUAGCCCAUGCCCAUCGCUCGACUCGCAUUUGUUACCGGGGCAUGCCGGCGACAUUGAGGCUAUGCACACCGCAUGCGUGGCAGGAGUCCAUAGACGUGGCACCGCCUCGAACCGUCCCAGCUGCAGCAGUGGGCGCAGCAGUAGCACCAGCAGGGCCACGCGCAGUCGAGGUGUCAGCGGCAGCAGCGGCGGGCUGACGAGGACGCCUGGCGGCGGCGCUGCCACCUGCCUCUCUCCAACAUCUGCCUGCGCGACUCACAGCGGGGCAUCACUGGAAAACGAGCCGUCGUUGACGCGCGGGUGUUGCUCCUCCCCUCCUCACGCAGAUGCGCAGCUCGCCUCUUUCUCCAGUAGCCUUGCACACCACGGCUCUGGGUCACCGUCCACUCCAUCCUCAACUGCACACUCUCCAGACGCACAGCCGCCGGCACCGACGGCGUGGCCGCUCGCAUUGCCUUCUGAGCGCAUUCGACAGUGUCAGCUCCACGAGGAGGAAGAAGGUGCUGCGCAGGAGCUGGCGCAGCAGCAGCACGUGCACUUCCGCGUGCCGAUGGUGGCCCUAAAGACGUCCGCAUCUCCUUCUGUCUACCCCGCCAAGGCGUCAGUGUCUGCGAGACCGUCCUCGCAGAUCUCAGCAGCAGAUCAGACCGCUGUGGAGCGGCUGCAAGAUCUCUCCUACGCGGAGGUGCAAGAGGCGCAGGAGUGGCUUGCUAGGGCCGGAAGCGCCAAGCAGGCGUGGGCCGUCUCGCGGUCUGUCCCUGUCGUGCGGCCGACAGAGGCCGUUGCCGCCGACCCGCUCGCGAACGAAAGCGGCGGCACAGCAGCUGCGCUGUUGGAAGCGGCGCCGGCUUCGCUGGACGCGGCGGCUAAUCUGCGCUUUUCUCAGUUUUUUCGUGCGUCACUGAUGGAGGAGGACAGCGAUGACGCCGCCAUGAGCGAUGGUGGGCGCGGCGCCGUCCACGGAGGAGCUGGGAAAGACACGGGCACGAGAGAAGCAGUGGAGAUGACGAGGGCGGGCGACGUGAGGCGCAGCACCGGCCCCACGCGUUCGUGUGGUGAGGCUGCGCCGCGCAGUUGCCAACACGGUGGCGCGUUUCCGUCGGCUUGGCCGUACGUUGCCAGCGAAUUCGAUGGGCCGGGUGCUGACGUGGAGGUGGAGAAGGGGGAUGACGAUGACCUCACCGACUCUCCCAUCACGGGCGUGCUGCCGUCGAGUACGCACCUGCACCGCACCAGCGUUGAUGCUGAUGGUAAGGCUGCUGCUCCUCUGCCUGAUUCGUCCAUUUUUCUUUCGCCAUCCGCUCCGGGGGCCAGCGCCAAGUGUACACUGGUCUGGCCUGCCUCGCCACUGCUUGCGGAGAGAGACUCCAGCACCCCGGCGCGGCGCUCCCUGUCGCCAGCCACUACUGCGAGGCGGUGGUCGCUAUCGUGUUUUGAUAUCGGGCGCCGUAUCGGGCACGGGCACUCCGGCAAGACGUUCCUUGCGCGGGAAAAGUACAGCAAAGUCGUCGUGGCCCUCAAGGUUUUCAACGACGACUACGCUCAGCGCCACGAAGGCGGGACGAAUAUGGUCGAGCGUGCGAUGCGACUACAGGCAGCAGCAGGACGGCACUGCCCCCACAUUGUAAGGCUCUAUGCGUUCUUCACGGAUGCGCGACGCUGUUACGCUGCUCUGGAGUACGCGGACGCUGGUGACCUCGCCACUCACCUCCUUCGCCAGCCGCACCAACGCCUGCCUGAGGCGCAGGCCCAGGUCAUCGUGUACCACGUGGCGCUGGCACUGCGGCACUUGCACGAGCAACGCGUUGUGCACCGCGCUGUGACGAUGCGCAACGUGCUACUGCGCCGCAGCGAGGCGGGAGCGACCGCCAAACUCGGCGACUUCGCAUCCGCAGUGCACCUGGCCGACGGGCGCGCUCGCUGGUUCGGCGAGCUCGGCGGCUCCCAUGAUGGAGGGCGGUCGCUGGAGUACGCGGCACCGGAGGUGAUUUGCGGCCGCGGAUGGUCGUGCAAGUCUGACAUGUGGGCACUCGGUAUCCUUGUGUUUGAGAUGAUCUGCGGCCACCACCCCUUCGAUCACGUUUCGGCGGCUGAGAUGAAGCGGCUCAUUUGCAGCGGUGCCGCCUGCCACUCGCCGCAUGCGCUGUCGCGCACCGGCAUGUCGUUUGUGCGGUCGCUUUUAUGCGUCGAUGAGGCAGCGCGCAGCAGCGCCGCAACGGCACUGGCGCACCCGUUUUUGAGUGUUAAUGCCGCCGCCACCACGCCUGCUGUGGCGAGCGCCAUGCAGGACACAGCAGCAAGCGGCCGCACAGAACCUGCCGGGUCGGCUGCCCAGGCGGCGCCGGCGAGCGUAGCCGUUGCCGAGGAGGCGUGCAUGGGUGCGGUGGCGCUGCCUGUCAGUCGUGACUUGUCGAGCACGUUUUCGCUCGCUGCAGUGCUGGCCAACACAGAGGCCAACUGCGGCAACGACGGUGGCCACAGCCGCUCGACGGCUGCCAUGCCGACAGGCACAAAAACUACCAUCAGCUGCGCAGGCGCUUCUCUAGUCUCUCCGGCGCCGAGGGACGACAUCCCGUACGCGCGGCGGGAUGGAAACCCAUCGGCUAGCUCUCUCACCACGACUUCGCCAUCGCCGACCGUCACCCCCUUUUCCACUGCCCAGCGCGUGACCGGAACAACAAGGCGUGCACAUGGCGCGGCAUGGCACACAGCGGAUGCGGUCGCUCCAGCGGCGUCUCUGUUGUCUACCAGCUCUCCUGGCCCCUUGAUGUCCUUCGCGCUUCUAACACACCCCUGGCAGAGCACUGCGCUGCCGCCCUCGGUGACUCUGUCGGCUUCCUCGCUCUUUGGCGCCCUGAGCGACGAGGAGGCGGAUACAAGCUCGGGCCGCCGGCCGAGCGCCACGAGGCUUAGGUCUCCUGGAAACGCCAGCCGACACAGCCCGACGACGACCCUCAGCGACAUGUCGGCCAGCGUGCUCUCCACGACACGAACGCCGACUACGCUUGCGUCGGGGGCAGCUCAGCCUACCGGAGGUGCGUUCACUGACAGCGCUGCGGCUGAGAGUGUGCCUAGCGGCAGCUUUAAGAGCGGCAACACUCACAAUACUAUCUAUCUUCACUCCCAACAGCAUCACGCCCGCCACGGUCAGCAGCAAGAGCAGCAGGAGACCCCGGUAGCAUAUGGCGCACUGGGCACGACGCGUAGCGGUGAGAGAAGGCGCAGCGAGGACACUAGAGGAGACUGCUCCGUGACCGUCAGCAGCUGGACGCCGCGCCCAUCGUGUGAUGCGCGCACGGAGUGGACCACCCAGGACGCAGACGUGUCUGUAUCAUCCUUGACGGUCUCAUCGACGUCGUCGUCCUCCAUGGGCGCGGUGGUUCCUCAAGCAAGCUUUCACACCCGUGCUUCAGACGCGCCCCCGCGGCAGCUAACUGGCCGCAUUGCAUCGCCGAUGGCAGUCAACGGCGCGCUGCAGGCAGAGCGGUUGCCGCUGACUGGCCGACUGGCCUCCUCGACCAUCACUUUAACUAGCGUCAGAGGCGCACCUGGUGCCCCCAAGGCAGCAGUCACAUCAUCACACGCGAGGAGGCCGCCGCCAGGAACGAAAAGGCUCAGCAAGCGGCGAGAGUGCUCGCUGCGACUUGCCUUUGAAACAUUGAGCGACGAGGACAGCUGGUGAGUAGCGCGUGAAAGGGAGCCUGCGCGCAACUGAUGGACGACCGUCUCAUGUGAUGAAAAGCACCACUCCUCCCCUUCAUGCCUUGACUGCCCGCUCCUGCUGCUGCUUCUUGUCCAUGCCGAUCCACGCACCAUUCAAUCGAGGGCGCUCUCCGCGAUUGCAGCUGCUCUGCAGCACCGGUUUUGCUUGGCAGAUGGACGUCUUUCUUUCAUGUCGCCACGAUCGGCGCUUCUUCGCUUGCACGUCUCCCUCCGCUGCGUGCCCGCUGUCUUUCCUUGCCUAUUCGUCGUACCGUGCGCACAGAGAGCGAGCGAGUGUGGCGCGCGUAGAAAAAAAGCGCUACGGCACAUGCAGCAGGGGGGGGCCGUGCAUCCCCAACGCGGCUUUUUUCCGAUCGGAGACGGAUUCUAACGCCGGGUGUGUUGCCCUUCUGGCGUGGAACGGUGAUGCUGUGCGCCGAGAAGACCUUCCCUUCCGCACCGUCUGCCUGGGGCGUGUGCAGCCUGGUCGAGCUCAUGUUCUUUCAUCCAACCAUUCGCCCCCUUCACCCUCCACGCCUCCUUGUGCUCUCCAUGUGUACCUCCUCUCUCAG